Calidris pugnax (ruff) is the source of this 2155-nucleotide long non-coding RNA. RefSeq lists it as uncharacterized. The record is from RefSeq and is a predicted model, not a curated record. The transcript is spliced from 4 exons. NCBI's taxonomy places the organism in Eukaryota, Metazoa, Chordata, Aves, Charadriiformes, Scolopacidae.
CACAGCAUAUUUAUAUUCUUACAACAUGUUUAAACUUCUCAGUUAUAAAUUUCUUGUAUGUCUAGAAUUGCCUGGGAAAGCAAACCUGCACAACCUGCCCUUGUCCUUCUUCCUUGGCAAGCUUGAUGCACCUUUUGUAAGGUUGGUGGGAUCUUGAAGGCAAGGGGUUUCUAGAACAACUUUGUGCUGUAACACCAUCCAACAUUUACUUAUGAUGUGGACCCAUAGGGCCUGAUGGUGGAUUGUCCUGUAGCUAUUUUCAGCAGUUGCAAACAGGGUUCCAGAGCUGGAUGCAAUACUCCAAGAGAGGUCUCACAAGAAUGGCGUAAAGGGGCAGAAUCACCCACCUUGACCUGCUGGCCACCCGUCUUUUGAUGCAGUCCAGGCUGCAAUUGGCCUUCUGGACUGUAAGCACACAUUGCUAGCUCAUGUCCAGCUUUUCAUCCACCAGUAUCCUUGAGUCCUUCUCUGCAGGACUGCUCUCAAUCCCUUCAUCCCCCAGCCUGUAUUGAUAACAGAGGUUGCCCCUGUUCAAAUGUAGGACUUUGCACUUGUCCUUAUUGAACCUCAUGAGGUUCACAUGGGCACACUUCCUGAGGUUGUCCAGGUCCCUCUGGACAGUAUCCUGUCCCUCAGGCAUGUCAACUGCACCACUCAGCUUGGUGUUAUCUGCAAACUUGCUAAGGAUGCACUCGAUCCUACUAUGUCAUUGAUGAAGAUAUUGAACAAUGUUGGUCCCAUUAUGGAUCCCCAAGGUACACCACUUGUCACCAAUCUCCAUCUGGACAUCGAGCUAUUGACCACUGCCCGCUGUGUAGGAUAUUAGUCUUAUGAAGGCUGGAAACUACGAUCUUUUGAAAAAAAAACUCUCUUUACAAAAGAUGGCCCAAUAAUGUUUCUUUAUUGAUUUGCAUUCUUCCUGAGUGAUCUGUAAAAAUAGCUGCUCACUUCCCAUCAGAAAUUCCCGCUUUGUGAGAUGUACUCUUCUGCAAUCUCCUUUACCCAAAGUACUAAUACUAAUGCCUUUAUCGAAAAAAACGAAUUUAAUUUCUAGGUAUCUUUCUUCCUGCAAUAAUGGAAGGCCCCUCAAGUAUCUUACCAUGCUGCUACUAUUUGCUGUAUCAGUUCCACAUGCUAAUAUGAUUUCCUGUAAGAGGAGAUGAAUAUAUUAGUUCUGCAGUGAAAUCACCAAAAAAAAAAAAAAAAGCCUGACCAGUGCUUUUAAGGAGAGUAAUCUCAAUGGAAAAUAUUAAAUUUGUUCCACAGUAUCAGUGUUAGAUGUAAAAUCUUGCUCUACCACGGGCUCCUGACUUUCUCUUUGGUUUUCUGGCCAGCGAUGGAUGUUGUUUCUGCCACCUGUUUGAAGACAAUUGUGCAACUGGAACCAUGGAAUGAUGUCCAGUUGCCUUUUUUAGAAUAUGAAUAGGGCUUUUGAAUUUGGCUGUGCUGAGCAGUUUGGGACUGAAUCACUCUGUAGACUUGCCAGAGAAAGUGUUUAGCCUAUGGACAUGAGCCAAAGCCCACUGCAUCUCACAGCAAGACUCUAUUUGGCUUUGGUGGGCUCCGGUUCAAGCUCUAUAUGCAUGACAAGUUCUUCUCUGGAAUUAUCAAAUAUUCUUCGUUUUUAGUUUCUGUUUUUAUUUUCCCAGAGAUUUUGACCUCUUAUUUUUCACCACUGCCUGUCUCUGCUCUUCUUUCUCUGAAUGGGAUGUUAGGACUGAUGGUAACGUGGAUGGUCUGUCAAGAAAAAGUCAGGGGCAAGGAGCCAUAUCAGGGCUCAGCUGCCCAAACUGCUCUGUACCCACUAACCACUUUUCCUUGCUUUUCACUUGUGAAUGUGUGCUAUUUUGAAAUGCCUCAAAUACUGUCGGACUCCAAGCUGUUUUGGACGCGAGCAUGUCAUUUUCCUUCCCUCUGCUGCAAUCAUGCUUGGAUCCUGCAGGCAUUUCCCAUAACAGGCCUCAGUUAUCAACGGCAGGAGUUUUAGUGUAUUUCCCUUCGCAAAGACUUUUGUUGCCAGAUGGGAGUUGUUAGUUGUUUAUAUCAGGCUAUGAGUAAUGCCCUUUUGCUAGCACUGUACACAAUGGUUUUUUUUUUGACAUUUAUUCCUUCUGUUGUUAUACAAUGUUAGCUUUGCAAGUUAUAAAGAACAACC